GAUGAAGAACGCAGCGAAAUGCGAUAAGUAAUGUGAAUUGCAGAAUUCAGUGAAUCAUCGAAUCUUUGAACGCACAUUGCGCCCGCCAGUAUUCUGGCGGGCAUGCCUGUUCGAGCGUCAUUACAACCCUCAGGCCCCCGGGCCUGGCGUUGGGGAUCGGCGGAGCCCCCCGUGGGCACACGCCGUCCCCCAAAUGCAGUGGCGGUCCCGCCGCAGCUUCCAUCGCGUAGUAGCUAACACCUCGCGACUGGAGAGCGGCGCGGCCACGCCGUAAAACACCCAACUCUUCUGAAGUUGACCUCGAAUCAGGUAGGAAUACCCACUGAACUUAAGCAUAUCAAUAAGCGAGGA
RNAcentral lists this unclassified non-coding RNA (351 nucleotides) under soil metagenome. RNAcentral describes it as "partial contains 5.8S ribosomal RNA, internal transcribed spacer 2, and large subunit ribosomal RNA". The stretch from base 1 to 120 matches the Rfam family "5.8S ribosomal RNA", at positions 35 to 154 of the family's 154-position model. The record is from RNAcentral.